AGUCAACAUGCCCAGGGGACGUGGAUAACCUCGGGAAACUGAGGAUAAACCACGAUAGGUCAUAAUAUCUGGAAUGAUUUAUGGCUAAAAUCUACAUGGCCCCUGGAUUGGACUGCGGCCGAUCAGGCUGUUGGUGAGGUAAUGGCCCACCAAACCUAAAACCGGUACGGGCUCUGAGAGGAGAAGCCCGGAGAUGGGCACUGAGACAAGGGCCCAGGCCCUAUGGGGCGCAGCAGGCGCGAAAACUCUGCAAUAGGCGAAAGCUUGACAGGGUUAUUCUGAGUGAUUUCCGCUAAGGAAAUCUUUUGGCACCUCUAAAAAUGGUGCAGAAUAAGGGGUGGGCAAGCCUGGUGUCAGCCGCCGCGGUAAUACCAGCACCCCGAGUGGUCGGGACGAUUAUUGGGCCUAAAGCAUCCGUAGCCGGUUCUACAAGUCUUCCGUUAAAUCCAUCUGCUUAACAGAUGGGCUGCGGAGGAUACUAUGGAGCUAGGAGGCGGGAGAGGCAAGCGGUACUUAGUGGGUAGGGGUAAAAUCCGUUGAUCCACUGAAGACCACCAGUGGCGAAGGCGGCUUGCCAGAACGCGCUCGACGGUGAGGGAUGAAAGCUGGGGGAGCAAACCGGAUUAGAUACCCGGGUAGUCCCAGCUGUAAACGAUGCAGACUCGGUGAUGAAUAGGCUUCGUGCCUUUUCAGUGCCACAGGGAAGCCGUUAAGUCUGCCGCCUGGGGAGUACGGUCGCAAGACUGAAACUUAA
RNAcentral lists this ribosomal RNA (754 nucleotides) under uncultured archaeon. Its description in RNAcentral is "bacterial SSU rRNA". It matches the Rfam family "Archaeal small subunit ribosomal RNA", at positions 102 to 859 of the family's 1478-position model. The record is from RNAcentral.